Molecule: ribosomal RNA, 459 nt
Filed under: uncultured bacterium
Lineage: Bacteria
Description: partial 16S ribosomal RNA
Rfam family: Bacterial small subunit ribosomal RNA
Source: RNAcentral
CCUACGGGAGGCAGCAGUGAGGAAUAUUGGUCAAUGGGCGCGAGCCUGAACCAGCCAAGUCGCGUGAGGGAAGACGGUCCUAUGGAUUGUAAACCUCUUUUGUCGGGGAGCAAAAGACGCCACGCGUGGCGUUCCGAGAGUACCCGAAGAAAAAGCAUCGGCUAACUCCGUGCCAGCAGCCGCGGUAAUACGGAGGAUGCGAGCGUUGUCCGGAUUUAUUGGGUUUAAAGGGUGCGCAGGCGGAAGAUUAAGUCAGCGGUAAAAUUGAGGGGCUCAACCUCUUCGAGCCGUUGAAACUGGUUAUCUUGAGUGAGCGAGAAGUAUGCGGAAUGCGUGGUGUAGCGGUGAAAUGCAUAGAUAUCACGCAGAACUCCGAUGGCGAAGGCAGCAUACCGGCGCUCAACUGACGCUCAUGCACGAAAGUGUGGGUAUCGAACAGGAUUAGAUACCCCUGUAGUC